GCCGGAGAACGCUCCGUUCCCCCGAAAGCGCUCGGCUGAAGACCGAGCGGUCCCGGGUUCAAAUCCCGGCCCCGGCACCA
Molecule: transfer RNA, 80 nt
Rfam family: tRNA
About the family: Transfer RNA (tRNA) molecules are approximately 80 nucleotides in length. Their secondary structure includes four short double-helical elements and three loops (D, anti-codon, and T loops).